Molecule: transfer RNA, 73 nt
Filed under: Dictyocaulus viviparus (bovine lungworm)
Lineage: Eukaryota; Metazoa; Nematoda; Chromadorea; Rhabditida; Metastrongylidae
Rfam family: tRNA
About the family: Transfer RNA (tRNA) molecules are approximately 80 nucleotides in length. Their secondary structure includes four short double-helical elements and three loops (D, anti-codon, and T loops). Further hydrogen bonds mediate the characteristic L-shaped molecular structure. tRNAs have two regions of fundamental functional importance: the anti-codon, which is responsible for specific mRNA codon recognition, and the 3' end, to which the tRNAs corresponding amino acid is attached (by aminoacyl-tRNA synthetases). tRNAs cope with the degeneracy of the genetic code in two manners: having more than one tRNA (with a specific anti-codon) for a particular amino acid; and 'wobble' base-pairing, i.e. permitting non-standard base-pairing at the 3rd anti-codon position.
Source: Rfam by way of RNAcentral
AGGAGUGUAGCUCAAUUGGUAGAGCACUGGUCUCUAAAAACAGAGGUUGUAGGUUCGAUACCUAUCGCUCCUG